Myotis lucifugus (little brown bat) is the source of this 78-nucleotide non-coding RNA. The record is from Rfam. NCBI's taxonomy places the organism in Eukaryota, Metazoa, Chordata, Mammalia, Chiroptera, Vespertilionidae.
CUUUCUACACAGGUUGGGAUCAGUUGCAAUGCUGUGUUUCUCUAUGGUAUUGCACUUGUCCCGGCCUGUUGAGUUUGG